UGAAACAUCUAAGUACCCAUAGGAGAAGAAAACAAUAGUGAUUCCGAGAGUAGUGGCGAGCGAAAUUGGAAGAGCCCAAACCGGAGUUGUUACGGCAACGCCGGGGUUGUAGGACUGCAUUUAGAAAAAGCUUCUGGGAAGGAGCGCCAAAGAAGGUUAAAGCCCUGUAUUCUAAUAUUCUUCUGUGCCACUUGCGUAUGACUCUUGAGUAGCAUCGGCCACGUGAAAGCCGGUGUGAAUUCGGGGAGACCACUCUCCAAGGCUAAAUAGUAUUCAAGAUCGAUAGUGAACAAGUACCAUGAGGGAAAGGUGAAAAGAACCCCGGUGAGGGGAGUGAAAUAGACCCUGAAACCAUGUGCCAACAAUGAGUCGGAGCCCUUCGGGGUGACGGCGUACUUUUUGUAGAACGGACCAACGAGUUUGCUGUAUGUGGCAAGGUUAAGGAAGUUACAUCCGAAGCCGAAGGGAAACCGAGUCUGAAUAGGGCGACUGAGUCACAUGCACAAAACCCGAAACCCAAGCGAGCUACCCAUGAGCAGGCUGAAGAUCCGCUAACCCGGAUUGGAGGGCCGAACCAAUUAGUGCUGCAAGACUACUGGAUGACUUGUGGGUGGGAGUGAAAAGCUUAUCGAGCUGGGAGAUAGCUGGUUCUCCGCGAAAUAUAUUUAGGUAUAGCCUUGAUACGUAACACACGGAGGUAGGGCUCUGAUAAGGCUAGCGGGUCGCGAGACUUAGCAAACCUUGAUAAACUUCGAAUACCGUGUGCGCAAUAUCAGGAGACAGACAGUGACAGAGAAGUGCCAUUGUCAAAAGGGAAACAGCCCAGAUUCCUGUCUAAGGUCCCAAAAUGUAUGCUCAGUGGAAAAGGAUGUAGAAUUACUAAGACAACCAGGAUGUUGGCUUAGAAGCAGCCACUCAUUUAAAGAGUGCGUAAUAGCUCACUGGUCGAGUGAUUCUGCGCCGAAGAUUCAACGGGGCUAAGCAUACUACCGAAGACGGAAGCUCUCUUUAUGGGAGCGGUAGCGGAGCGUUGUCUAGGCCGAUGAAGGUGGGGGGUGAUCCCUGCUGGAGGUAUGACAAGUGAAAAUGUUGGUAUGAGUAACGUAAUCGGACUGAAAACGUCCGACACCGUAUGUCCAAGGUUUCCGAUCCAACGUCAGUCGUGGUCGGGUGAGCCGGUCCUAAGGCGUAGCUGAAAGGCGAAGCUGAUGGAUAGCAGGUUAAUAUUCCUGCGCUUCAAAAACACGUUACACCGAUGCGGGGACGCAGUGUGUUUCUGGGAGUUUUAAUAGAUAUACCGAGCGUGAGGAGAUCUGAUAUUUAGGGAAGUCCGGAUAUCACAUAAGAUCGACAAAACGCCCUGAGAGUUUUAAGCCUUCGGGUAAGAAACUUUCAGCCCUACAGAAAUAUGCUGUCAAGAAAAGCCGCUAGGAAGUGUUAUGAAACCGUACCGAAAUCGAACACUCGUGGACUAGUGUGAGUACACUAAGGUGGACGGGAUAAUCAAGCUUAAGGAACUCUGCAAAACAGCGGUCGUAACUUCGGGAUAAGACCUGCCUAGACUUUAUUUUAGAGUCUAGGCCGCAGCUAAAGAGCUCAGGCGACUGUUUACCAAAAACACAGCUCUCUGCUAACUCGCAAGAGGAUGUAUAGGGGGUGAUGCCUGCCCAGUGCCAGAAGAUUACGAGGAGGGGUUAACGCUCUGAAUUUAAGUCCUGGUGAACGGCGGCCGUAACUAUAACGGUCCUAAGGUAGCGAAAUUCCUUGUCGGGUAAGUUCCGACCCGCACGAAUGGCAUAACGGUCUGGGCACUGUCUCAAGCAUGGUCCCGGUGAAAUUGCAAUAUCGGUAAAAAUGCCGAUUACUCGCAGCAAGACGGAAAGACCCUAUGAAGCUUUACUAUAACUCCGAAAAUAAGCGCAAUUAAACUAUCGAGCCAGGCCAGUUUUGUAUAAUACAACAGAAUCAAUCCCACCACCAGACCAAUCGACGAAUAGGUAUCCGAUUGCAGGUGCUUUCCACCCGAAACCAGGGCGAUGGAAUUAUGCUUCCUGCCAAUCGAAAUACUGUACCAUCCCAGAAUAUAAUUGAGCAAACCGGCAAUGGCAACAAUGACGAUACCUAUAUCUAAUUGUUGAAUAUCGGCAGGGAGAAAAAACCGUUUCACAGCUUCAAAAAUAAUAAAGGCGCCGGCAAUCAUUAUCAGAAAACCUUCGAUCGAUGCCGAAAGAAACUCAGCCUUACCAUGCCCGAAAGGGUGAUCGUCGUCGCGGGGCUUUAGCGAAACAUAAAUGGCAUAAAGGGUUAUAAAUCCGGUGCUUACAUUUACCGUGCUUUCGAGCGCGUCGGUGAGUAUCCCUACCGAAUUAGUGAGA
This 2375-nucleotide ribosomal RNA is filed under the name freshwater metagenome. Its description in RNAcentral is "bacterial LSU rRNA". The stretch from base 1 to 1955 matches the Rfam family "Bacterial large subunit ribosomal RNA". The record is from RNAcentral.